UACAGAGGUCCCAAGCGUUGUUCGGAUUCAUUGGGCGUAAAGGGUGCGUAGGCGGCGCGGUAAGUCGGGUGUGAAAUCUCGGGGCUUAACUCCGAAACUGCAUUCGAUACUGCCGUGCUUGAGGACUGGAGAGGAGACUGGAAUUUACGGUGUAGCGGUGAAAUGCGUAGAUAUCGUAAGGAACACCAGUGGCGAAGGCGGGUCUCUGGACAGUUCCUGACGCUGAGGCACGAAGGUCAGGGGAGCAAACGGG
RNAcentral lists this ribosomal RNA (253 nucleotides) under uncultured bacterium. RNAcentral's name for it is "partial 16S ribosomal RNA". It matches the Rfam family "Bacterial small subunit ribosomal RNA", at positions 524 to 776 of the family's 1533-position model. The record is from RNAcentral.